UACGAGGGGGGCGAGCGUUGUUCGGAAUUAUUGGGCGUAAAGGGUGCGUAGGCGGUUUGGUAAGUCUGAUGUGAAAUCUAUGGGCUCAACUCAUAGUCUGCAUCGGAAACUGCCGGGCUUGAGUGUGGGAGAGGUGAGUGGAAUUCCUGGUGUAGCGGUGAAAUGCGUAGAUAUCAGGAGGAACACCUGUGGCGAAAGCGGCUCACUGGACCAUAACUGACGCUGAGGCGCGAAAGCUAGGGGAGCAAACAGG
This 253-nucleotide ribosomal RNA is filed under the name uncultured bacterium. Its description in RNAcentral is "partial 16S ribosomal RNA". It matches the Rfam family "Bacterial small subunit ribosomal RNA", at positions 524 to 776 of the family's 1533-position model. The record is from RNAcentral.